UGCCUCUAAAACCUACUCCCCCAUCCCAGUCGACUGUCUGGAGGAGGAGACCAGGAUACGAUCCGCUGACGACGGCAAACUCUUCAGAGAGGAGUUCAAUUCAUUGCCUGCUGGAUAUACCCAGGGGACAUGUGAGGAGGCCAACAAGGAAGUCAACAAAGAAAAGAACAGAUAUCCCAACAUCCUUCCAUAUGACCAUUCCAGGGUGGUGUUAACACAGCUAGAUGGAAACCUCUGUUCGGACUACAUCAACGCUUCAUAUAUCGAUG
Coregonus clupeaformis (lake whitefish) is the source of this 269-nucleotide long non-coding RNA. RefSeq lists it as uncharacterized. The record is from RefSeq and is a predicted model, not a curated record. The transcript has 3 exons. Lineage: Eukaryota; Metazoa; Chordata; Actinopteri; Salmoniformes; Salmonidae.